CAGAGGGGCAAGCGUUAUUCGGAAUUAUGGGCGUAAAGGGCGCGUAGCGGCGAUUCAAGUGGCGGGUGAAAUCCCUCGGCUUAACCGAGGAACUGCCUGCCAGACUGGAUUGCUUGAGUCCGGGAGAGGUGAGUGGAAUUCCCAGUGUAGCGGUGAAAUGCGUAGAUAUUGGGAGGAACACCAGUGGCGAAGGCGGCUCACUGGACCGGAACUGACGCUGAGGCGCGAAAGCGUGGGGAGCAAACAGGAUUAGAUACCCUGGUAGUCCACGCCGUAAACGAUGAGUGCUUGGUGUAGCGGGUAUCGACCCCUGCUGUGCCGAAGUCAGCACAUUAAGCACUCCGCCUGGGGAGUACGGUCGCAAGACUG
Molecule: ribosomal RNA, 369 nt
Filed under: uncultured organism
Description: bacterial SSU rRNA
Rfam family: Bacterial small subunit ribosomal RNA
Source: RNAcentral